This 2521-nucleotide long non-coding RNA is filed under the name Aquila chrysaetos chrysaetos. RNAcentral describes it as "lncRNA (ENSACCG00020016365.1)". The record is from RNAcentral. Lineage: Eukaryota; Metazoa; Chordata; Aves; Accipitriformes; Accipitridae.
UUGCAGAUGGACCAAAAGCUGCCAGCUUUUUGGCGAUGGCCUCGUCGGUGAGCGCCGUAAAACCUCUUCCAUGUGCAGGGCUCACUGUGCCGCAGAUUCUCCUCUUUUUUUUUUUUUUAACAAAAUGCUGCUUACCUUGUGACACAAGAGAAUCACCAGGAUAUCCCAAACAGCUGUCCAGCAGCAUUUUCAGGGAACUGGUCUGUCCGUAUGCUGCUUCGCCCCGCAUCGAAGAAGAAUGGCCGUAACCACUGUUGAGCUGCAGUUGAGCUCGUCUCCUUCGGACCAACUCUCAGCCAGGCUCCAGAGCUCACCGGGAGGCUCAGGCAGGUGAGCUCUCCCCUCGGCCGGGAAGGCAAAGUGGGGACGAUCUCCCCGUCUGUUACUGAUCCACUCGGAGGUUUCAAAGGUCCCCAAAUGCCAUCGGUCUGCAUCUGCCAGGAGGUGUGGAUGCAGGAGCUGGAACGAGCCUAUGCUGCCAUUCUUAAACACCUCCUGAAGUGGGGAUCAGAGGUAACCUGGUUAGUAUGAAGACUCGUUCUCAUUAGAACAGAGCACAGAAUAAAGUAGAAAAAGUUGAUGGAGUCAAAGCAGGUUGGAGAGUUGAUCGUUAUGGUAUUUUGUUUUGUUUUUUUUUUUAAAGUUCUAUUUGUUAAAGCAUUUGCAGAUAAAUGAUUUAUUCUUAGGAGUUAAAUGUAACAAGUUUGGGGUAAGUAGAUGGAGGGCAAACCCUGUGGGUGUGCUGAACUUGGUAACAGCCAUCACUCUGUAACAACCACCGUGCUACAUUUGACUAAUCAUAUUUCUUUGCAUUAAGUUUUUCACAUUCACCAGGUGCUAAGAACUACAUUUCGUGGUACUUGUGAAGUGUAGCACCCACCGUCGGAGUUAGUGCCAUCGGACACGUGCCUGCGGUUGUCCUGCCCCAGAAGAAGAUGAGAAUCGCGGGCAGCACGGAUACAGAGAGGGAAUCGCUCAUUCGGGGAAAUAAAUCGCUGGAAAGAAGCGCCCGGGAUGAACGAGCAGGACGCAGGGUUCGGCGCCGCUCUUCCCAGCCAGCGAGAUCCUGAUUAACUCGUUACCUCUCGCCGUGCCUUGCCGCCGGUCUGGCUCGGGGCGGUGCGGCGGUGCCUCCCUCCGCAGCCGCACCGGGCGCUGGCUCUGCCGGAUGAUGUCAUGGCAGAGGGGAAGGGAGCGCGGGUGGCUACUGGGCUCUUGAGUGAGUAGCCCUCGAAUAGUUUCCUUUUUUCCUGCCUGUCGAUGCCAGCGUACGCCCAAGAGCAGGCUGCUUUUUGCCGGGCUCGUGUUAAAAAUCUGGCGUGAUCCCUAAAGCCAAGUCCCUCGGCCACAGCCACUUUAAACCCCCCGAUUUCGUACAAACCCGCCUGUGCUGCCCACCCUGAGCAGAGCAGUGCUGGGGGCACCUUUGUCUCCUCCUCCCCCAGAUCUCAACCCCUCUAUUUUUUUCAUAAAAGGCCUUUUUUCCCUCCUGCUGUAGCCUGAGGCAGGGGGUUCUCCCAGCUGAUCCCCUGGGUCUCCAGGUACAAGUUUCAUUAACGCACACUCCCAGUUCUGAGCCCGAUUGCCAUCGAUUACACCACAGCACAAACCAGAGCAGACUCUGGCCCCUCCAUUACUUUGCCCUUUGAUUUACCUGUUUUCCCUUCAAAAAAGCCCCACAGCUGCCUGGAGCUUCUCCUGGUUUUUUUUCUUCUCCUUCCCCUCUCAGGUACAGCAGCAGGGAAGUAAAAGGUUGAGCUGUCACAUUCACCUUCCACCGAUCCCUCCUCGUCAGCCAUUUCAGAGGCCAAGUGCUGACUACCAAAACUUUUCCCUGGGCUGCUCCAAAACUUUUAAGUUUUUUCCCCUCACUUGUAGCUUAGAAGUAUAUUUUUAGGCAGUUUUUGCCCAGAUCUCAGUUAACUGACCUGGGAGGAAAGAGAGUUAAGUUUAAGCAAGCCUUUAGGCAAAGAAACAUACUUUGGCUUAAUAGGUUAGAGAGGUGUCAGCAGCAUCCAUUGUACACAUUAAGAGCUGUUAUCGCUUUUUCCAGGUAUUUUUAACCAUUGCAGCUGAUUGAGCAGGCUUAGAAUUUAAAAUAAGCAGGGAAAAAAAAUAUAACAAAAAGGGUUAAGUGAGAAACUACGGCUAGUUUUAAUCAGACACUACCAUAGACCAGUUAUAACAUCACAAAAAUAACUCAAAAUGUAUUCCCUUCUGGAAUGCCAUUCUGAAUAUCUUCUAGAAAUCACACCGAAACCGUUACAGUUACAAGUAAUUAAAUUUAUUAGACCUCUAUAAUUUUUUAUAGUCAGUUUUGGCCAAUUUACAGCUUUCCUGGGGAUCUUUUUUGUUUGUUUUUGUUUAGACACAAAAAAAAUAAAUCAUAAACCAAGUAUCACCGACACAUCAACCCCCCCCCCCUCGCCCCCUCACAGCCACCUAAAAAAGAGGGGGAGGAGGCCUCGGCAGCGCCCGGGCCCCCCGCUCCCCAGUUGCGCUUUAUUCCCGUUAAAAAGGG